Podarcis lilfordi (Lilford's wall lizard) is the source of this 1353-nucleotide non-coding RNA. NCBI's taxonomy places the organism in Eukaryota, Metazoa, Chordata, Lepidosauria, Squamata, Lacertidae. The record is from the annotation of a GenBank genome assembly.
GGUGAUGUUGGCUGAUCUGCAGGAACCCAUCCUACAUUAAGGCUGCAAUCCUAUACACCUUUACAUGAGAGUAAGUCCAAUGGAACUUUAUGAAACCUGAGCAAGACAUGCAUAAGAUUGCUUGGUUAGUCUAUGUACUUUUUCAUCCAGUGUUGAUAUUCCUCUCCCUUUCCCCUUCUGCACUUGUUAUUUACAAUUAAGAUAACUUAACUGGUACCCUCAAUUAUUAAAACAUCAUAUAGAGUUAUAAGAAGCUCAUUUCUCACUCAGUUAUGCCUAUAACCACAAUAAAACAUAAGGAUGUACGAAACAAAAAUGCCACCCUUCUCACCUGUUUCAGUUGCUCCAAACAAAAUAGUGACAUAAAAAUAUAAAAAAUAUAAAAACAAAGUAUAUACUUUGAGAGUAAUGCUAUGAAGCGACAGAUUUGCUCAAUGAAGUCUUCUAAUAAGUAUUUCCCAGCCCUUUCACAAUUAAAUCCUAUACAUAUCUACUUAGAAAUAAGCUCUAUUGAGUUCAAUUUACUGCCAGAUAAGAAUGUAUAGAACUGGGGUGUUAGCCCACUAUUAAUCUACAUAUGGAGCUUGCAAUCUGGAAAAGGACUACUUGGUAAAAAAAAUGAAGUCUCAGAGUUUGGACUGAGGCUUUUCAUGAUCUGAGUUAUGCCUGUGCAUUGAAAACUGAGACUCUCUUCAGCUAUGGUGUUACCUGCACUGAAAAUCAUACUCCUUCAGAGGGGGAGAAAUUUCCCUGCUUUAGCUUACUAGGCUAUAAAAGCAAAUACAGUAUAGAAAAGCUUGCCUGACACACAAUGGACUAGAAUUGUUGUGUCUUCAGGGGAGUGUCUUCAUUUAUUCUGUUAUAUUUUCAGCAACACUUUUUACAUUGUUAUUAUUAAGCUAGGUUUUUUAGGAUGUUUAAUUCUGACUGAUGGGAUUAUCGGUUUUUCCAAUGUCUCCUCUGCCUCCUGUGAUCUUAUUCUGAUUAUUUAUAUAUCAAUACACCUGAAGGAGCGUCUCCACCCCAUCAUUCAGCCUGGACACAGGUCCAGCGCCAAGGGCCUUCUGGCGGUUCCCCCACUGCGAGAAGUGAGGUUACAGGGAACCGGGCAGAGGGCCUUCUUGGUAGUGGCACAUGCCCUGUGGAAUGUCCUCCCAGCAGAUGUCAAGGAAAUAAACAGUUAUCUUACUUUUAAAAGACAUCUGAAGGCAGCCCUGUUUAGAGGAAGUUUUUAAUGUCUGAUGUUUUAUCCUGUUUUUAAUAUUCUGUUGGGAGCUGCCCAGAGUGGCUGGGGAAACUCAGCCAGAUGAGCGGGGUAUAAAUAAUAAUUUAUUAUUAUCACUAUUAUUACAG